CUCAACUCUACUCGAGUGAGGUAGAGCCGCGGUAUUGCAUCACCACGACGACAUCAGUUUGACGAAAAUUUGAU
Molecule: microRNA precursor, 74 nt
Filed under: Bombyx mori (domestic silkworm)
Lineage: Eukaryota; Metazoa; Arthropoda; Insecta; Lepidoptera; Bombycidae
Description: mir-2816 microRNA precursor family
Rfam family: mir-2816 microRNA precursor family
Source: Rfam by way of RNAcentral